UUCUGGCUCAGGAUGAACGCUAGCGGCAGGCUUAACACAUGCAAGUCGAGGGGCAGCGGGAUGUAGCAAUACAUUGCCGGCGACCGGCGGAUGGGUGCGUAACGCGUAUGCAACCUACCUUAGUACAGGGGAAUAACCUUUCGAAAGGGAGACUAACACCCCAUAGUAUUGAUUUAAGGCAUCUUAGAUUAAUUAAAUAUUUAUAGGUAUAAGAUGGGCAUGCGUAUGAUUAGCUAGUUGGUAAGGUAACGGCUUACCAAGGCGACGAUCAUUAGGGGUUCUGAGAGGAAGGUCCCCCACACUGGUACUGAGACACGGACCAGACUCCUACGGGAGGCAGCAGUGAGGAAUAUUGGUCAAUGGGCGCAAGCCUGAACCAGCCAUGCCGCGUGCAGGAAGACGGCCUUAUGGGUUGUAAACUGCUUUUACAUAAGACUAACCGUAUAUUUGCGAAUAUACCUGAAUGUAUUAUGAGAAUAAGGAUCGGCUAACUCCGUGCCAGCCGCCGC
RNAcentral lists this ribosomal RNA (509 nucleotides) under uncultured bacterium. RNAcentral describes it as "bacterial SSU rRNA". It matches the Rfam family "Bacterial small subunit ribosomal RNA", at positions 17 to 518 of the family's 1533-position model. The record is from RNAcentral.